AAUCAACGCCGGCGGCGUGCCUCAGACAUGCAAGUCGAACGCGAAAGGCCCCUUCGGGGGGCGAGUAGAGUGGCGUCCGGGUGAGUAACACGUGGGUAAUCUACCUUCGGGUGGGGAAUAACGACCGGAAACGGUCGCUAAUACCGCAUAAUGCAGCGGCACCUAAUGGUGACAGUUGUUAAAGCGGGGGAUCGCAAGACCUCGCGCCUGAAGAGGAGCCCGCGGCGGAUUAGCUAGUUGGCAGGGUAACGGCCUACCAAGGCGACGAUCCGUAGCCGGCCUGAGAGGGCGGUCGGCCACACUGGCACUGACACACGGGCCAGACUCCUACGGGAGGCAGCAGUCGGGAAUUUGGGCAAUGGGCGAAAGCCUGACCCAGCAACGCCGCGUGAAGGAUGAAGCUUUUCGGAGUGUAAACUUCAUAAGAAUGGGACGAAUAAGGAAGGGCUAAUACCCCUUUUGAUGACGGUACCAUUUGUAAGCUCCGGCUAACUCCGUGCCAGCAGCCGCGGUAAUACGGGGGAGC
Molecule: ribosomal RNA, 526 nt
Filed under: uncultured bacterium
Lineage: Bacteria
Description: bacterial SSU rRNA
Rfam family: Bacterial small subunit ribosomal RNA
Source: RNAcentral